GACGAACGCUGGCGGCGUGCUUAACACAUGCAAGUCGAGCGGAAAGGCCACUUCGGUGGUACUCGAGCGGCGAACGGGUGAGUAACACGUGAGUAAUCUGCCCUUGGCUUUGGGAUAGCCACCGGAAACGGUGAUUAAUACCGGCUAUGACCACUCUAGGCAUCUAGUGGUGGUGGAAAGGUUUUCGGCCAGGGAUGUGCUCGCGGCCUAUCCGCUUGAUGGGGCGGUAAUGGCUCCCCAUGGCUUCGACGGGUAGCCGGCCUGAGAGGGUGGCCGGUCACACUGGGACUGAGACACGGCCCAGACUCCUACGGGAGGCAGCAGUGGGGAAUAUUGGACAAUGGGCGGAAGCCUGAUCCAGCAACGCCGCGUGAGGGAUGACGGCCUUCGGGUUGUAAACCUCUUUCAGCAGGGACGAAGCGCGAGUGACGGUACCUGCAGAAGAAGCACCGGCCAACUACGUGCCAGCCGCCGCGGUAA
This 480-nucleotide ribosomal RNA is filed under the name uncultured bacterium. Its description in RNAcentral is "partial 16S ribosomal RNA". It matches the Rfam family "Bacterial small subunit ribosomal RNA", at positions 28 to 523 of the family's 1533-position model. The record is from RNAcentral.